GGGGAUGCUAGGCAUUCGACGAAAAUUGCUCUUUUACAAAUUGCCAUCAGGGGAUCGCGCUGUCUCCCCUUAGAUCCGUCCAGCGCAAAUAUAAGUGCUAAAACACUUGCAAACGCACAAGCCAGAGAAGCUGCUUCUGUUGGAGCUCCGGCUCUUGCUUAUGCAUAAUCUUUCCCCUAUUCGGGAAAGUCGCCUUAUUUAAUGACUCCGAUGUUUUUAUAAGGUGUUACUUUAUCGGAUAAGGUUGCCGGAUCGUUCGGUCGGCGACUCGAAAAUUCAGGACUAAGCUUUUGGAGUUUUUUGUUUAUUUUUAAUUCCUAAAGUCGAAAAUUUAAAAUGAACUAUGAUGGUAGACGUUUGUAGCAGACAUUUUUGGACGCGGGUUCGAUUCCCGCCAUCUCCACCA
RNAcentral lists this transfer-messenger RNA (406 nucleotides) under Patescibacteria group. Its description in RNAcentral is "WJJQ01 sp014729615 Standard tmRNA". It matches the Rfam family "transfer-messenger RNA". Rfam says of the family: Bacterial tmRNA, also known as 10Sa RNA or SsrA, is named for its dual tRNA and mRNA-like properties. RNAcentral also lists the same sequence under 1 other name. The record is from RNAcentral.